Molecule: ribosomal RNA, 463 nt
Filed under: uncultured bacterium
Lineage: Bacteria
Description: partial 16S ribosomal RNA
Rfam family: Bacterial small subunit ribosomal RNA
Source: RNAcentral
GACGAACGCUGGCGGCGUGCUUAACACAUGCAAGUCGAACGGUGAACCUCUUCGGAGGGGAUCAGUGGCGAACGGGUGAGUAACACGUGGGCAACCUGCCCCCGGCUCUGGGAUAACUCCAAGAAAUUGGGGCUAAUACCGGAUGUUCACCGCUUCCCGCAUGGGUGGUGGUGGAAAGGGUUUCCGGCUGGGGAUGGGCCCGCGGCCUAUCAGCUUGUUGGUGGUGUAGUGGCCUACCAAGGCGACGACGGGUAGCCGGCCUGAGAGGGUGACCGGCCACACUGGGACUGAGACACGGCCCAGACUCCUACGGGAGGCAGCAGUGGGGAAUAUUGCGCAAUGGGCGGAAGCCUGACGCAGCGACGCCGCGUGGGGGAUGACGGCCUUCGGGUUGUAAACCUCUUUCAGCAGGGACGGAGCGCAAGUGACGGUACCUGCAGAAGAAGCACCGGCCAACUACGUG